RNAcentral lists this ribosomal RNA (253 nucleotides) under uncultured bacterium. RNAcentral describes it as "partial 16S ribosomal RNA". It matches the Rfam family "Bacterial small subunit ribosomal RNA", at positions 524 to 776 of the family's 1533-position model. The record is from RNAcentral.
UACGGAGGGUGCGAGCGUUGUCCGGAAUCACUGGGCGUAAAGGGCGCGUAGGCGGCCUGAUAAGUCGGGGGUGAAAUCCUGCGGCUUAACCGCAGGGCUGCCUUCUAAACUGUCAGGCUAGAGCACAGUAGAGGCAGGUGGAAUUCCCGGUGUAGCGGUGGAAUGCGUAGAGAUCGGGAAGAACAUCAGUGGCGAAGGCGGCCUGCUGGGCUGUUGCUGACGCUGAGGCGCGAAAGCUAGGGGAGCAAACGGG